UAAAAUCUUUCAUUUUUCUAGGAGACGGGUGGGUGCUAACUUCCUACAAUACCUACAGAUGGCACAAAAAAAUGAAGAAAGCAUAAAUGGAGCUUCUAACAAUAGAAGAGACCCCGUUUCAGAGACCAAAAGUCACGUUGGAGUGAGCGAAUGAAUCAUUUUGCAGAUAAAAAAAACAGUGCCGUUGCAACUUCGAACGGUCGCUAAACGAGGACGGUAUUGGAAGUCGAGGACUUGCCUGUACGUUAAACCUAGUUGAGAGUGCUGGAAAUGGAAGAUCAGCCUUUUUAAUAAGAGCAACUGAAGUUGUGGCUGCCCCCUAAAACCUCCAAAGGGCCUUCAAAGUCAUUGAAAUCUGAAUAAUAUUGACAAUAAACUUUCACAAAAGCGAA
Molecule: non-coding RNA, 392 nt
Organism: Pantherophis guttatus
Lineage: Eukaryota; Metazoa; Chordata; Lepidosauria; Squamata; Colubridae
Source: RefSeq, a predicted model, not a curated record